This is a non-coding RNA of Cinara cedri, 315 nucleotides long. The record is from the annotation of a GenBank genome assembly. Lineage: Eukaryota; Metazoa; Arthropoda; Insecta; Hemiptera; Aphididae.
AAUUUCAGUAAUUAGUAAAUUACUCGCGAUUCGUGACUAGUUUAAUGUUAUCAGUUUAAAUUUAAACGAAGGGCCCGGACCGUUAGUUUUUCAUAGAUGUAAAAAUUCUCGGAUUUGUUCACGUCCCACCUCAAAAGAUACGAAAUGUCUGCCCGUGGCGGUACUUUAUUUAAAGCACUUAUCGAAAUGCUCUACAGUUCAUUCUCUAAGUCCAUUUUUUUGGAGGUUUGAUUUUUGGGAUACCUAAGAAAUAAAAGGAAAAUAUGUUUAAUACUACUCUAUUUUAAUGAGUUGGAAAAAAGUUGGAAAAGUUUC